UCCCACGUUGUCUAGUGGUUAGGAUAUCUGGCUUUCACCCAGAAGGCCCGGGUUCGAUUCCCGGCGUGGGAA
Lutzomyia longipalpis is the source of this 72-nucleotide non-coding RNA. NCBI's taxonomy places the organism in Eukaryota, Metazoa, Arthropoda, Insecta, Diptera, Psychodidae. The record is from Rfam.